Molecule: ribosomal RNA, 428 nt
Filed under: uncultured Acidobacterium sp.
Lineage: Bacteria; Pseudomonadati; Acidobacteriota; Terriglobia; Terriglobales; Acidobacteriaceae
Description: bacterial SSU rRNA
Rfam family: Bacterial small subunit ribosomal RNA
Source: RNAcentral
AACGCGAAGAACCUUACCUGGGCUCGAACGGCUUCUCAACGCCGGUGGAAACAUCGGUACCCCGCAAGGGGGUGGAGUCGAGGUGCUGCAUGGCUGUCGUCAGCUCGUGUCGUGAGAUGUUGGGUUAAGUCCCGCAACGAGCGCAACCCUUGUCCUGUGUUGCCAUCAUUCAGUUGGGAACUCGCAGGAGACCGCCAGGGAUAACCUGGAGGAAGGUGGGGAUGACGUCAAGUCCUCAUGGCCUUUAUGUCCAGGGCUACACACGUGCUACAAUGGACGGUACAAAGCGCAGCAAACCCGCGAGGGGGAGCCAAUCGCAAAAAACCGUUCUCAGUUCGGAUUGCAGGCUGCAACUCGCCUGCAUGAAGCUGGAAUCGCUAGUAAUGGCAGAUCAGCACGCUGCCGUGAAUACGUUCCCGGGCCUUGUA